UACGGAGGGAGCUAGCGUUGUUCGGAAUUACUGGGCGUAAAGCGCACGUAGGCGGCUUUGUAAGUUAGAGGUGAAAGCCCGGGGCUCAACUCCGGAACUGCCUUUAAGACUGCAUCGCUUGAAUCCAGGAGAGGUGAGUGGAAUUCCGAGUGUAGAGGUGAAAUUCGUAGAUAUUCGGAAGAACACCAGUGGCGAAGGCGACUUACUGGACAUGUAUUGACGCUGAGGUGCGAAAGCGUGGGGAGCAAACAGG
RNAcentral lists this ribosomal RNA (253 nucleotides) under uncultured bacterium. RNAcentral describes it as "partial 16S ribosomal RNA". It matches the Rfam family "Bacterial small subunit ribosomal RNA", at positions 524 to 776 of the family's 1533-position model. The record is from RNAcentral.